This 556-nucleotide ribosomal RNA is filed under the name Nakaseomyces glabratus. Its description in RNAcentral is "[Candida] glabrata partial large subunit ribosomal RNA". It matches the Rfam family "Eukaryotic large subunit ribosomal RNA", at positions 88 to 651 of the family's 3401-position model. The record is from RNAcentral. Lineage: Eukaryota; Fungi; Ascomycota; Saccharomycetes; Saccharomycetales; Saccharomycetaceae.
GGCGAGUGAGCGGCAAAGCUCAAAUUUGAAAUCUGGUACCUUUGGUGCCCGAGUUGUAAUUUGGAGAGUACCACUUUGGGACUGUACUUUGCCUAUGUUCCUUGGAACAGGACGUCAUGGAGGGUGAGAAUCCCGUGUGGCGAGGGUGUCAGUUCUUUGUAAAGGGUGCUCGAAGAGUCGAGUUGUUUGGGAAUGCAGCUCUUAGUGGGUGGUAAAUUCCAUCUAAAGCUAAAUACAGGCGAGAGACCGAUAGCGAACAAGUACAGUGAUGGAAAGAUGAAAAGAACUUUGAAAAGAGAGUGAAAAAGUACGUGAAAUUGUUGAAAGGGAAGGGCAUUUGAUCAGACAUGGUGUUUUGCGCCCCUUGCCUCUCGUGGGCUUGGGACUCUCGCAGCUCACUGGGCCAGCAUCGGUUUUGGCGGCCGGAAAAAACCUAGGGAAUGUGGCUCUGCGCCUCGGUGUAGAGUGUUAUAGCCCUGGGGAAUACGGCCAGCCGGGACCGAGGACUGCGAUACUUGUUAUCUAGGAUGCUGGCAUAAUGGUUAUAUGCCGCCCG